This 301-nucleotide ribosomal RNA is filed under the name uncultured bacterium. Its description in RNAcentral is "partial 16S ribosomal RNA". It matches the Rfam family "Bacterial small subunit ribosomal RNA", at positions 509 to 807 of the family's 1533-position model. The record is from RNAcentral.
CAGUAGCCGCGGUAAUACAGAGGGUGCGAGCGUUAAUCAGAUUUACUGGGCGUAAAGCGUGCGUAGGCGGCUUUUUAAGUCGGAUGUGAAAUCCCUGAGCUUAACUUAGGAAUUGCAUUCGAUACUGGGAAGCUAGAGUAUGGGAGAGGAUGGUAGAAUUCCAGGUGUAGCGGUGAAAUGCGUAGAGAUCUGGAGGAAUACCGAUGGCGAAGGCAGCCAUCUGGCCUAAUACUGACGCUGAGGUACGAAAGCAUGGGGAGCAAACAGGAUUAGAUACCCCCGUAGUCCCUGUCUCUUAUAC